This 1321-nucleotide ribosomal RNA is filed under the name Dipseudopsis sp. XG-2021. RNAcentral's name for it is "16S ribosomal RNA". Lineage: Eukaryota; Metazoa; Arthropoda; Insecta; Trichoptera; Dipseudopsidae. The record is from RNAcentral.
AGUUAAAAAUUAAUUAGAUCAAAAAUAUUAAAUUAAAUAGAAUUUUUUGAGUAUGAAAUUAGUAUGAGUACAGAAGGUAAGAAAAGUUAGGAUUUUAUAGAUAAAUAGUAUUGAGAAAGAAUUUUUAGAUUAUUAAGGAAGAAUAAAAAUUUUAGUAUCUUGUGUAUCAGGGUUUAUUAAAUAAUAUGUUAGAAUUUGAAUUAAAUUCAAAUUCAAAUGAAUUAUUUAUAUGAAUUAGUUAUUGUAAUAGAAAUAUUAUGUACAUAUAUAAAUUGAUCGAAGUUAAAAGUUAUUCGGGUUUGAAGUUAUUUAAUUGUUUGGGAAAUAAAUUUAAUUUAGAAUUUGAAAACUCUAAUUUAAAAACUUUUGGUUUUUAAAUUAAGGUUAAAAUUUAAUUUAUUAGGGGAUAAGCUUUAAUAAAAAAAUGAAAAUAGUAGAAUUAAUUAGUAGGAUAAGGCUAUAAAAACUAGGAAAAAAAAUGUUUUUUUAUGGUUGAUGAAAUAAUUAAGUUUUUAAUAAAUUUUUAUAAGAAUAAAUUUAAAUUUUAAUGGUUAUUUAAAGUAUACUAAACUAAAAAUUUAAAUUUUUAUAAUUUAGUAAUAAUGAUAAAAUUAGUAAAAUUAGUUAUUAAUAAAUAUGAAGAUAAUUUUAUAAAAUAAAUUUUAUGAAUUAGGCAAUAUAUAAUUUGACUGUUUAACAAAAACAUUUUUUUUUGAGUUAAUUUAAAAUAUGGCCUGCCCACUGAAUUUAUUUGAAGGGCUGCAUGAUUAAUUGUACAAAGGUAGCAUAGUCAAUAGUUUUUUAAUUGAAAACUUGAAUGAAUGGUUGAACAAAAUUAUAACUUUAUUAAAUUUAUAAUUCAAAUUUUAUUUUUAAGUGAAAAAGCUUAGAUUGGAUAAUAAGACGAUAAGACCCUAUAGAUCUUUAUAAAUUUGGAAAAAUUUGAAUUAUAAAUUUAUUUAAUUGGGGUGAUUUUAAAAUUUAACUAACUUAUAAAAGUGGAUGAGUAAAUUUUAAACAUAAAUUAAUGAGUAGAAGGAUUUAUAAAUUAUGAAUAUUAGAAUAAGUUACCUUAGGGAUAACAGCGUAAUGAUAAUAUUAAAUUUUUGAUAUUAUAGAUUGCGACCUCGAUGUUGGAUUAAAAUUAAUUUUAGAUAUAGAUAUUUAAAAAUUUAGUCUGUUCGACUAUUGAAAUUUUACAUGAUCUGAGUUCAAACCGGCGUGAGCCAGGUUGGUUUCUAUCUAUUAUAUGUUAAUAAGAUUUAGUACGAAAGGAAUUAAUUUUAUUUAAUUAAGUUAUUUAAUAAGUUAGAAUUAAAUU